CUUAGGAGUCAUCUUUACCUCUUUAAAGAGAUGAAGACUAUCUAUUGCUUUCUUCUUAUCAAGUUAGGAUUAUGGUCUUUCGUUGUAGCCUAUAAACAGCUUCUGUGGGUCAAAGAAAAUUUGAGGGAGUCCUGGUCAAUGACAUUUAGGUGAAUGGAUUUGAGCGAUUGGUUAUCGUAUAGAGCAACGGGAGAUGAUACUCGAAGUCUACGCACAACAGUCUGCAAAUGGACUUAUUUGGGCCAUGCGCAUAUGCAACAGAUCAAUGAGACAGUUUCCCGUGACAUGGAAGCUCUUGGAUGGGAUGAUGACUUUUGGGAGGAAAUUGGUUUAGGUGAUCUUGUGGAUAGCCAUCAUUCCAAGGUAGGAUGCAGUGUAGCUUUUCCCGGUCAUGCUUUGGGCUGUGGUCUGACACCUAAUGCCUCAAAGGCAAGAAAACUUACGAAAAGUUCACUUGAUUACAGUGAUUGCUUGAGCCUAUAAUUGAUAUAAAAUAUCCAGUUCAGAUGGAGAUAGCAGCACAUACUCCAUCUUUCUAGCAAAUUAUCCUAACUGAUGUACAUUACAAGUCCAGUUGGACCAAGAGACAUGCUCGCUAGUGUCUUAUUUUAUCCUUUUUGCUAAGAAACAUUUUUCUGUUACCAAGAACUGGGUUUACUAGCUGGGACACCAGUUGGUAGAUGCAAUGUUAUCAAAUAGCGGAUAUGGCGGCGCCAUGGCGCUAUGACAUGGCGUUCAGUGGUGGAAACGCCAUAGUACCAUGUCGAUGUCAUAGCACCUCCAUAUCCAACAUUUGACAACAUUGCAUGUGUACUGUAUUUAGGAAUGGGGCAUUAUGCAAGAAACAUGGAGGCGAACCGUCAUAAGCCGCCAUACGAGAUUGAUAACAUUGGGUAGAUGCUCAUGCUGGUGGUGUGGGGGUCAUGGAAAGUGUGCCUCCAGAAAUAACAGAACAUGAACCAGCAGAAGAUGGGGAGGAGGAAAUAUGUCAUCGCAUGGUGUUAGUAUGGCUAUAUCUAAGGCCAAGUUAUUCAGUACAGAUUUAUUUGUUAACAAUAUUGCUUUCAGUGACACUGACAACUUCCACUGUGCCACUGGUGAUUAAUGGGCCGUAGAAUGAAACUGGAUAUAAAUUAUGUGUCUUCUAUUCAGUUCACCUCCUUAACACCCAGAUAAUAAAAUGAAUACCUAGCCACACGUGCUACUUUAGCAACUGGAUUUUUCUUAGAGUCUGGAAUUGCCAGAGGAGUUACCUUAUUGGAUUAAUAUUCUCCUCUAUGGUACCUAUAACCUUCUAGUUUACAUCUAGGCAUUACUGCGAAUGUCUUGUGGCUGGAAAUACAGAGUCCUCAUGCCAACUUGUACAUGGAUAUUUAUUAGUAUUAUGCACGAGGAACUUGUGAACUGCAUGUUUUAUGACUUUAUUUUGAUUUAUCAUAUUCUAAUACUUUUUAAUAAGAUAAGUGAGUCUGUUAUGAAUCUUCGUGCAUGUCCAAACAUUGAGUCUGCUUCCUGUCUGUUUGAGAACAUCUCAGUAGCUGCUUGGACAGUUUGAGUUCCAUGUGGAGAGUAUGCCUUCAGGCUUUCCAGUAAGUUAGGACGUGGCAAGAUGGAGACUCUUCUAGUUUUGUAGUCUAAAAGUAGCGUCCCUGCUUCUGCAAUGAUGGAAUACCUUAGCCUUUGAAUAUUUCAUAAUGGAAAAGUUAUACUAUCAUAUCUACAGAGGGCAUGUUUUAUAUUGGUUUUUUUUUCUCUGAUGCAAGGAGGGACAUUUCUUUUCACUUUCACGAUUUGAGUAUUGGCUUGCGGAAGGAGGCCAGAGCGCUAGUGGGGCAUUAUUUGAGCACAUCUUGGACGGCCAUCCUGCAUAUCAAGGCCUGGCUAACAGAGCAGCUAUGCCCUUGUUAAAUUGUGUUUCUAGAUAUAUAGUCACAUCUAUGUUGUUCUUUACCUAAUCUAUACCACAAUUUUUUUCUUUAUAAGGUGUUUCAGUGUACGAGCUUCUGAAUGAGAUACUGGAAAAAAUGGUAAUGAAUGAAAUACUGGAAUCAAUGAAGCAAGAAAUGAGUUCUCCAUUUCUUGCUGCGUUGACAAAAGACAUUCAUGUGCUUCCUGAUUUCCAUGGAAACAGAUCUCCUAUUGCAGACCCAUUAUCCAAAGGGGUGAUAUUUGGCCUUACUAUUAUUGAUACAAGUGAGAGACAGCUGGCUCUUUUAUACCUUGCCACAAUACAAGGUGUAGCUUACGGGACACGACAUAUAGUAGAACAUUGCAAUGAGAAGGGGCACAAGGUAAGGAAAUUGGUGCAGUGUGCUUUAAUUACCUUCGCCAUAUCACAUUUAGAGCUGAUUAUCAACUGCUGUCGAAAGCAGACAAAACGGUAUCAAGUCAUUUCUUACACUUUAGUAGGCUUGUAAAAUGUGUAUAGAUUCAAGAGCAUGCAGAUAUCACAGGUUCUAUUCUCUCUAUCUCUCUCUCAUGGAUACAUAUAUGACUAUUUGACAUCUCUGAUCUCUCUAUCAUUUCAUCUGUCAACCUAAUUAGUCUCAUUAGUCAUUCGUAGUCUAUUAUGUUCAACAGGUUAUCCCAUAACUCUUCCUCGGGAAAACGAAGCUGUGCUGCUAUUCUUGGUGAUGUUGCUUCGAAGAUGUAUUCCACUGUUAGAGAGGCCAUGCAAGCACUAAAUGCACCUGGCCGGGUGGUGUAUUCCUCUCACGACCCGAAAGUAAGGAAGUAUCACGACACUAAGUGUCGUAUCUUCCGUGAUCUUUACCAGCAGCAACUAUCCCAGCGUGCAAUGAUAAAAGAAGCUCUUUCAGAUGUCUAGACUUUGGAAUAGAGAUUGAGAAGUUGAAGAUACAAUAAUAAGUUUAGUAAGUAUUUUACUUGAAUACAAUUUGUUUACACGAAUUAUACAUUGAAUUUGUAUGGGAAUAUUACAGCCCACAGCCUGUGGAAGUUUACAGGUAUAUAUGUUGAACGCAAUAAAUAGACAACAUAGUUGCUACAUAUUUAUCUUAAA
Salvia splendens (bonfire salvia) is the source of this 3022-nucleotide long non-coding RNA. RefSeq lists it as uncharacterized. The record is from RefSeq and is a predicted model, not a curated record. Lineage: Eukaryota; Viridiplantae; Streptophyta; Magnoliopsida; Lamiales; Lamiaceae. The transcript has 8 exons.